UCUUUGGUGGUCCUGUGGCUAAGACUUUGUACUUCCAUUGUAAGGGGCAUAGGUUCGAUUCCUGGUCAGAGAA
RNAcentral lists this transfer RNA (73 nucleotides) under Ovis aries (sheep). It matches the Rfam family "tRNA". From Rfam's summary of the family: Transfer RNA (tRNA) molecules are approximately 80 nucleotides in length. Their secondary structure includes four short double-helical elements and three loops (D, anti-codon, and T loops). Further hydrogen bonds mediate the characteristic L-shaped molecular structure. tRNAs have two regions of fundamental functional importance: the anti-codon, which is responsible for specific mRNA codon recognition, and the 3' end, to which the tRNAs corresponding amino acid is attached (by aminoacyl-tRNA synthetases). tRNAs cope with the degeneracy of the genetic code in two manners: having more than one tRNA (with a specific anti-codon) for a particular amino acid; and 'wobble' base-pairing, i.e. permitting non-standard base-pairing at the 3rd anti-codon position. Lineage: Eukaryota; Metazoa; Chordata; Mammalia; Artiodactyla; Bovidae. The record is from Rfam by way of RNAcentral.